RNAcentral lists this ribosomal RNA (225 nucleotides) under uncultured bacterium. RNAcentral describes it as "partial 16S ribosomal RNA". It matches the Rfam family "Bacterial small subunit ribosomal RNA", at positions 15 to 233 of the family's 1533-position model. The record is from RNAcentral.
GAUCCUGGCUCAGGAUGAACGCUAGCUACAGGCUUAACACAUGCAAGUCGAGGGGCAGCGGGAUUGAAGCUUGCUUCAAUUGCCGGCGACCGGCGCACGGGUGAGUAACGCGUAUCCAACCUUCCGUACACUCAGGGAUAGCCUUUCGAAGAAAGAUAAUACCUGAUGGUAUGAUGAGAUUGCAUGAUAGCAUCAUUAAAGAUUAUCGGUGUACGAUGGGGAGUG